GUAGGUGGCAAGCGUUAUCCGGAAUUAUUGGGCGUAAAGCGCGCGUAGGCGGUUUUUUAAGUCUGAUGUGAAAGCCCACGGGCUCAACCUUGGAGGGUCAUAGGAAACUGGAAAACUUGAGUGCGGAAGAGGAAAGUGGAAUUCCAUGUGUAGCGGUGAAAUGCGCAGAGAUAUGGAGGAACACCAGUGGCGAAGGCGACUUUCUGGUCUGUAACUGACGCUGAUGUGCGAAAGCGUGGGGAUCAAACAGGAUUAGAUACCCUGGUAGUCCACGCCGUAAACGAUGAGUGCUAAGUGUUAGGGGGUUUCCGCCCCUUAGUGCUGCAGCUAACGCAUUAAGCACUCCGCCUGGGGAGUACGACCGCAAGGUUG
Molecule: ribosomal RNA, 372 nt
Filed under: uncultured organism
Description: partial 16S ribosomal RNA
Rfam family: Bacterial small subunit ribosomal RNA
Source: RNAcentral